This 100-nucleotide small nuclear RNA is filed under the name Cercocebus atys (sooty mangabey). Lineage: Eukaryota; Metazoa; Chordata; Mammalia; Primates; Cercopithecidae. The record is from RNAcentral.
GUGCUCACUUCAGCACAUACACUAAAAUUGGAACGAUACAGAGAAGAUUAGCAUGGCCCCUGUGCAAGGAUGGCAUGCUUUUAAAAUAAAAAAAAAUUUU